CUCGCGGGGUAGCUAAUUCUAAAUGUGGAUGCAUCAUUCACAGAGGGCGACUAUGCAGGGUCAUGUGGAGCCGUUAUUCGUGAUCACCGGGGGUCCUUUAUAGCGGCAUCCAUGGUGAGAUUAGAACACGUAGUUGAUGUGUUUACGGCAGAAGCGGCAGCUUUGCUCGAAGGAUUGAAGCUAGCAAGGGACACAUGCUGCUAUAACUUGGUGGUGAGAUCGGACAAUACCACGGUGGUGGAUGCACUAAACCACAAUGGAGGUUAUUCUAUGGUGGCAUCGCUGGUCAUUGAUGAAUGUUGAAGUAAUCUAGUAGAUUUCGGGAGGGUUACUAUUGAGCAUUGUAUUAGAGAGUCAAACUUUGUAGCUCAUGAGCUGGCUAGAUGGGGACGUGUUAACAAUCCAUCUCUUUGGAUUGAUGCCUCGCCUGAUUUCAUUGUGAAAUUGCUAGCAGACGAUGUAUCUAUCAUUUGA
This 474-nucleotide ribosomal RNA is filed under the name Triticum aestivum (bread wheat). Its description in RNAcentral is "partial small subunit ribosomal RNA". The record is from RNAcentral. Lineage: Eukaryota; Viridiplantae; Streptophyta; Magnoliopsida; Poales; Poaceae.